RNAcentral lists this ribosomal RNA (864 nucleotides) under uncultured bacterium. RNAcentral's name for it is "bacterial SSU rRNA". It matches the Rfam family "Bacterial small subunit ribosomal RNA", at positions 31 to 883 of the family's 1533-position model. The record is from RNAcentral.
GAACGCGUCUUGGUUAUUGAUGUUAGAUGCUUGCAUUUAACUGAUUUAACAUUGAGACGAGUGGCGAACUGGUGAGUAACACGUAGGUAACCUGCCCUUGAAGUAGGGGAUAACACUUGGAAACAGGUGCUAAUACCGUAUAACAACCAAAACCACCUGGUUUUGGUUUAAAAGAUGGCUUCGGCUAUCACUUUAGGAUGGACCCGCGGCGUAUUAGCUUGUUGGUAAGGUAACGGCCUACCAAGGCAAUGAUACGUAGCCGACCUGAGAGGGUAAUCGGCCACAUUGGGACUGAGACACGGCCCAAACUCCUACGGGAGGCAGCAGUAGGGAAUCUUCCACAAUGGACGAAAGUCUGAUGGAGCAACGCCGCGUGAGUGAUGAAGGGUUUCGGCUCGUAAAACUCUGUUGUUGGAGAAGAACAGGUGUGAGAGUAACUGUUCACAUCUUGACGGUAUCCAACCAGAAAGCCACGGCUAACUACGUGCCAGCAGCCGCGGUAAUACGUAGGUGGCAAGCGUUGUCCGGAUUUAUUGGGCGUAAAGCGAGCGCAGGCGGUUUCUUAGGUCUGAUGUGAAAGCCUUCGGCUUAACCGGAGAAGUGCAUCGGAAACCAGGAGACUUGAGUGCAGAAGAGGACAGUGGAACUCCAUGUGUAGCGGUGAAAUGCGUAGAUAUAUGGAAGAACACCAGUGGCGAAGGCGGCUGUCUGGUCUGUAACUGACGCUGAGGCUCGAAAGCAUGGGUAGCGAACAGGAUUAGAUACCCUGGUAGUCCAUGCCGUAAACGAUGAGUGCUAAGUGUUGGAGGGUUUCCGCCCUUCAGUGCUGCAGCUAACGCAUUAAGCACUCUGCCUGGGGAGUAC